Molecule: ribosomal RNA, 1435 nt
Filed under: Salmonella enterica subsp. enterica serovar Chester
Lineage: Bacteria; Pseudomonadati; Pseudomonadota; Gammaproteobacteria; Enterobacterales; Enterobacteriaceae
Description: partial 23S ribosomal RNA
Rfam family: Bacterial large subunit ribosomal RNA
Source: RNAcentral
GUAGGUGUGUGUUCCAGGUAAAUCCGGUUCACUUUAACACUGAGGCGUGAUGACGAGGCACUACGGUGCUGAAGCAACAAAUGCCCUGCUUCCAGGAAAAGCCUCUAAGCAUCAGGUAACAUCAAAUCGUACCCCAAACCGACACAGGUGGUCAGGUAGAGAAUACCAAGGCGCUUGAGAGAACUCGGGUGAAGGAACUAGGCAAAAUGGUGCCGUAACUUCGGGAGAAGGCACGCUGACACGUAGGUGAAGUGAUUUACUCAUGGAGCUGAAGUCAGUCGAAGAUACCAGCUGGCUGCAACUGUUUAUUAAAAACACAGCACUGUGCAAACACGAAAGUGGACGUAUACGGUGUGACGCCUGCCCGGUGCCGGAAGGUUAAUUGAUGGGGUCAGCGCAAGCGAAGCUCCUGAUCGAAGCCCCGGUAAACGGCGGCCGUAACUAUAACGGUCCUAAGGUAGCGAAAUUCCUUGUCGGGUAAGUUCCGACCUGCACGAAUGGCGUAAUGAUGGCCAGGCUGUCUCCACCCGAGACUCAGUGAAAUUGAACUCGCUGUGAAGAUGCAGUGUACCCGCGGCAAGACGGAAAGACCCCGUGAACCUUUACUAUAGCUUGACACUGAACAUUGAGCCUUGAUGUGUAGGAUAGGUGGGAGGCUUUGAAGUGUGGACGCCAGUCUGCAUGGAGCCGACCUUGAAAUACCACCCUUUAAUGUUUGAUGUUCUAACGUGGACCCGUGAUCCGGGUUGCGGACAGUGUCUGGUGGGUAGUUUGACUGGGGCGGUCUCCUCCUAAAGAGUAACGGAGGAGCACGAAGGUUGGCUAAUCCUGGUCGGACAUCAGGAGGUUAGUGCAAUGGCAUAAGCCAGCUUGACUGCGAGCGUGACGGCGCGAGCAGGUGCGAAAGCAGGUCAUAGUGAUCCGGUGGUUCUGAAUGGAAGGGCCAUCGCUCAACGGAUAAAAGGUACUCCGGGGAUAACAGGCUGAUACCGCCCAAGAGUUCAUAUCGACGGCGGUGUUUGGCACCUCGAUGUCGGCUCAUCACAUCCUGGGGCUGAAGUAGGUCCCAAGGGUAUGGCUGUUCGCCAUUUAAAGUGGUACGCGAGCUGGGUUUAGAACGUCGUGAGACAGUUCGGUCCCUAUCUGCCGUGGGCGCUGGAGAACUGAGGGGGGCUGCUCCUAGUACGAGAGGACCGGAGUGGACGCAUCACUGGUGUUCGGGUUGUCAUGCCAAUGGCACUGCCCGGUAGCUAAAUGCGGAAGAGAUAAGUGCUGAAAGCAUCUAAGCACGAAACUUGCCCCGAGAUGAGUUCUCCCUGAGACUUUAGGUCUCCUGAAGGAACGUUGAAGACGACGACGUUGAUAGGCCGGGUGUGUAAGCGCAGCGAUGCGUUGAGCUAACCGGUACUAAUGAACCGUGAGGCUUAACCUUACA